RNAcentral lists this ribosomal RNA (207 nucleotides) under uncultured bacterium. Its description in RNAcentral is "partial 16S ribosomal RNA". It matches the Rfam family "Bacterial small subunit ribosomal RNA", at positions 568 to 774 of the family's 1533-position model. The record is from RNAcentral.
UUCGUAGGCGGUGCGGCAAGUCGGAAGUGAAAUCUCCAGGCUCAACUUGGAGGCUGCUCCCGAAACUGCCGUGCUAGAGUGCGGGAGAGGCCAGUGGAAUUGCAGGUGUAGCGGUGAAAUGCGUAGAUAUCUGCAGGAACACCCGUGGCGAAGGCGGCUGGCUGGACCGCAACUGACGCUGAGGAACGAAAGCUAGGGGAGCAAACA